ACUGUGCACAAGGAAUCGAAAUCUAUCAAUUCAAAUCAAUCAAUGUUAAAAAUUUAUAAUAAUUAUUCUUGCAUUAAAUACAAAUGAAUGCAUACCGAAAAAAAUAAAUUUCCCUAGAAAAGUUAAGCAAUAGAACAAUUUAGCGAAUAAUGAAUUCCUUUAACGUUAGGAGUUUCGAUCGAUUUUAAUGAAGUGCAAAGGAGAAUUAAAUGAAGUCGUUUAGGCAAAAUGAAGUUUGCAAUCCAAAUUUUCCCAUAAACGUUCCACUAAGGAACUGGGGCAAACUUCUCACAAAUCACUGAGUGCUAUCCGAUUCAAAUUUGAAGCUCAAUGAUGGGGCGUGCCUUUUUGGGGAGAAAUUCUAACAUGGUAUAGUUUUUCGCAAAUGUCACCAACAUUAGGAAAUGAUAGCCACCGCUGAAAAUUUCUUCUGAUGUUUCGAACCGUGGUGUUCUGCGUUAUAGGCGGACACGCGCUACGGUAGCCUCUGAAAAAGGCGAAGAUUGCUUUUUGUAAAAAUGGUUUAUGUGAAAUAUCUAAAAAUUAUAUUUGCUGAAUUUUUGAGUUUGUACAAUAUACAGAUAUCCAAUAAAAUAAUAAAAACAA
This is a long non-coding RNA of Stomoxys calcitrans (stable fly), 606 nucleotides long. RefSeq lists it as uncharacterized. The transcript has 2 exons. NCBI's taxonomy places the organism in Eukaryota, Metazoa, Arthropoda, Insecta, Diptera, Muscidae. The record is from RefSeq and is a predicted model, not a curated record.